AUUGAACGCUGGCGGCAUGCCUUACACAUGCAAGUCGAACGGCAGCGCGUCCUUCGGGAUGGCGGCGAGUGGCGAACGGGUGAGUAGAGCAUCGGAACGUGCCCGGUAGUGCGGGAUAGCUCGGCGAAAGCCGGAUUAAUACCGCAUGAGAUCCGAGGAUGAAAGCAGGGGAUCGCAAGACCUUGCGCUACUGGAGCGGCCGAUGUCAGAUUAGGUAGUUGGUGGGGUAAAGGCUCACCAAGCCUGCGAUCUGUAGCUGGUCUGAGAGGAUGAUCAGCCACAUCGGGACUGAGACACGGCCCGAACUCCUACGGGAGGCAGCAGUGGGGAAUUUUGGACAAUGGGCGCAAGCCUGAUCCAGCCAUGCCGCGUGCAGGAUGAAGGCCCUCGGGUUGUAAACUGCUUUUGUACGGAACGAAAGGCCUCCUUCGAAUAAAGGGGGGAGAUGACGGUACCGUAAGAAUAAGCACCGGCUAACUACGUGCCAGCAGCCGCGGUAAUACGUAGGGUGCGAGCGUUAAUCGGAAUUACUGGGCGUAAAGCGUGCGCAGGCGGUUUUGCAAGACAGUGGUGAAAUCCCCGGGCUCAACCUGGGAACUGCCAUUGUGACUGCAAGGCUGGAGUACGGCAGAGGGGGAUGGAAUUCCGCGUGUAGCAGUGAAAUGCGUAGAUAUGCGGAGGAACACCGAUGGCGAAGGCAGUCCCCUGGGCCUGUACUGACGCUCAUGCACGAAAGCGUGGGGAGCAAACAGGAUUAGAUACCCUGGUAGUCCACGCCCUAAACGAUGUCAACUGGUUGUUGGGGAUUUAUUUCUUCAGUAACGAAGCUAACGCGUGAAGUUGACCGCCUGGGGAGUACGGCCGCAAGGUUAAAACUCAAAGGAAUUGACGGGGACCCGCACAAGCGGUGGAUGAUGUGGUUUAAUUCGAUGCAACGCGAAAAACCUUACCCACCUUUGACAUGUAUGGAAUCCUGAAGAGAUUUGGGAGUGCUCGCAAGAGAGCCAUAACACAGGUGCUGCAUGGCUGUCGUCAGCUCGUGUCGUGAGAUGUUGGGUUAAGUCCCGCAACGAGCGCAACCCUUGCCAUCAGUUGCUACGAAAGGGCACUCUGAUGGGACUGCCGGUGACAAACCGGAGGAAGGUGGGGAUGACGUCAAGUCCUCAUGGCCCUUAUAGGUGGGGCUACACACGUCAUACAAUGGCCGGUACAAAGGGCAGCGAAGCCGCGAGGUGAAGCCAAUCCCAUAAAGCCGGUCGUAGUCCGGAUUGCAGGCUGCAACUCGCCUGCAUGAAGUCGGAAUCGCUAGUAAUCGUGGAUCAGCAUGUCACGGUGAAUACGUUCCCGGGUCUUGUACUCACCGC
Molecule: ribosomal RNA, 1364 nt
Filed under: uncultured bacterium
Lineage: Bacteria
Description: bacterial SSU rRNA
Rfam family: Bacterial small subunit ribosomal RNA
Source: RNAcentral